GAUGAACGCUAGCUACAGGCUUCACACAUGCAAGUCGAGGGACCGGCGCACGGGAGAGUAACACGUAUCAAACCUGCCCUUUACUCGGGGAUAGCCUUUCGAAAGAAAUAUUAAUACCCGACAUAAAGGGUGGGGAUGCGAUUCAUUAGGUUGUUGGUAAGAUAACGGCUAACCAAGCAUUCGAUGGAUAGGGUUUAUGAGAGGAAGUUCCCCCACAUGUGAACUGAGAUCCGGUCCAAACUCUUAUGGGAGGCAGCAGUGAGGAAUAUUGGUCAAUGGGCGCUAGUCUGAACCAGCCAAGUGGCGUGAAGGGUGAAGGCUUAUGGGUCGUAAUCUUCUUUUAUAGAAGAAUAUGUAUUAUAUGAAUAAGGAUCGGCUAACUCCGUGCCAGCAGCCGCGGUAAUAC
RNAcentral lists this ribosomal RNA (406 nucleotides) under uncultured bacterium. RNAcentral describes it as "partial 16S ribosomal RNA". It matches the Rfam family "Bacterial small subunit ribosomal RNA", at positions 28 to 526 of the family's 1533-position model. The record is from RNAcentral.